This 473-nucleotide ribosomal RNA is filed under the name uncultured Corticiaceae. Its description in RNAcentral is "eukaryotic LSU rRNA". It matches the Rfam family "Eukaryotic large subunit ribosomal RNA", at positions 56 to 526 of the family's 3401-position model. Lineage: Eukaryota; Fungi; Basidiomycota; Agaricomycetes; Corticiales; Corticiaceae. The record is from RNAcentral.
AAGAACUACAAGGAUUCCCCUAGUAACUGCGAGUGAAGCGGGAAAAGCUCAAAUUUAAAAUCUGGCAGUUUAAUGGCUGUCCGAGUUGUAAUCUAGAGAAGUGUUAUCCGCGCUGGACCGUGUACAAGUCUCCUGGAAUGGAGCAUCAUAGAGGGUGAGAAUCCCGUCUUUGACAUGGACUCCCAGGGCUUUGUGAUGCGCUCUCAAAGAGUCGAGUUGUUUGGGAAUGCAGCUCAAAAUGGGUGGUAAAUUCCAUCUAAAGCUAAAUAUUGGCGAGAGACCGAUAGCGAACAAGUACCGUGAGGGAAAGAUGAAAAGAACUUUGGAAAGAGAGUUAAACAGUACGUGAAAUUGCUGAAAGGGAAACGCUUGAAGUCAGUCGCGUCGUCCAGGGAUCAACCUUGCUUUUGCUUGGUGCACUUUCUGGUUUGACGGGUCAGCAUCAAUUUUGACUGUUGGAAAAAGGCAAAGGG